GGCUGGGAUUUGUAGUCCUCACUGGCUUCCUGGCCUACCCCUCUCCGGAAGAAAAUGGCUGCCUCAAGUGCUUGGACCACAUUUCCCGGAGUGCCCCGGGCUCCUGUUUUCCGCCCACUUUCUUCCGUACCCCGCUGCGCUCCAAGCACGGCGGGUCCAGUGCGGGUUCGGAUCUGGAGUUGGUAGUCUGCUACCCUGCUUCCACUGCACCAUCCCCCACCGCAUACACAGUUCUCUUCUGGACUUCUGAGAAUGCACCUGCAGUUUCCAGCAGCGUUGCCGCCAGGUGAAUUUGAUGAUCCGAUAGUAGGUGACCUUUGAAAGUUAACAGGGGUGCCAUGGGCUGAGUAAGAUAAAUGGAACUGCUGUU
This 370-nucleotide long non-coding RNA is filed under the name Mus spicilegus (steppe mouse). RNAcentral's name for it is "lncRNA (ENSMSIG00000000426.1)". Lineage: Eukaryota; Metazoa; Chordata; Mammalia; Rodentia; Muridae. The record is from RNAcentral.